Molecule: ribosomal RNA, 503 nt
Filed under: uncultured Glomus
Lineage: Eukaryota; Fungi; Glomeromycota; Glomeromycetes; Glomerales; Glomeraceae
Description: SSU rRNA
Rfam family: Eukaryotic small subunit ribosomal RNA
Source: RNAcentral
AGCAGCCGCGGUAAUUCCAGCUCCAAUAGCGUAUAUUAAAGUUGUUGCAGUUAAAAAGCUCGUAGUUGAAUUUCGGGAUCAGUUCGCUGGUCGUGCCUCUGGUAUGUACUGGUGUUACUGGUUCCUCCCUUCUGAAGAACUGUCAUGUCAUUAAUUUGGUGUGGCGGGGAAUCAGGACUGUUACUUUGAAAAAAUUAGAGUGUUUAAAGCAGGCUCGCGCUUGAAUACAUUAGCAUGGAAUAAUGAAAUAGGACGUUCGAUCCUAUUUUGUUGGUUUCUAGGAUUGACGUAAUGAUUAAUAGGGAUAGUUGGGGGCAUUAGUAUUCAAUUGUCAGAGGUGAAAUUCUUGGAUUUAUUGAAGACUAACUACUGCGAAAGCAUUUGCCAAGGAUGUUUUCAUUAAUCAAGAACGAAAGUUAGGGGAUCGAAGACGAUCAGAUACCGUCGUAGUCUUAACCAUAAACUAUGCCGACUAGGGAUCGGAUGAUGUUAAUUUUUAAUGA